AAUAGAUACCCCGGUAGUCCACGCCGUAAACGUUGGGCGCUAGAUGUGGGGGCCAUUCCACGGUUUCCGCGUCGUAGCUAACGCAUUAAGCGCCCCGCCUGGGGAGUACGGCCGCAAGGCUAAAACUCAAAGGAAUUGACGGGGGCCCGCACAAGCGGCGGAGCAUGCGGAUUAAUUCGAUGCAACGCGAAGAACCUUACCAAGGCUUGACAUAUACGAGAACACUGCAGAAAUGUAGGACUCUUUGGACACUCGUAUACAGGUGGUGCAUGGUUGUCGUCAGCUCGUGUCGUGAGAUGUUGGGUUAAGUCCCGCAACGAGCGCAACCCUCGUCGCAUGUUGCCAGCACGUAAAGGUGGGAACUCAUGUGAGACUGCCGGGGUCAACUCGGAGGAAGGUGGGGAUGACGUCAAAUCAUCAUGUCCCUUAUGUCUUGGGCUUCACGCAUGCUACAAUGGCCGGUACAAAGGGCUGCAAUACCGUAAGGUGGAGCGAAUCCCAAAAAGCCGGUCUCAGUUCGGA
This 522-nucleotide ribosomal RNA is filed under the name uncultured bacterium. Its description in RNAcentral is "bacterial SSU rRNA". It matches the Rfam family "Bacterial small subunit ribosomal RNA", at positions 777 to 1297 of the family's 1533-position model. The record is from RNAcentral.